Molecule: long non-coding RNA, 1203 nt
Organism: Macaca mulatta (Rhesus monkey)
Lineage: Eukaryota; Metazoa; Chordata; Mammalia; Primates; Cercopithecidae
Source: RefSeq, a predicted model, not a curated record
CCCAGGGCUUAGGGGAGGCCUUGGCUCAGAAAGCCUGGAAGCUGGGCUACCCGGCAAAAGUCACACUCACUCACACUCAUACAUACACACACUCACAUGCACUCUAUAGCCAAUACCUACGACUCUGCAGUCCCUACAAAUAAAAAAAGAAGCCUUGCUUUUUAGCCUUUCUGCCUCUACAGCUAAUGAACCGUUGCCUUCCACAGUGCUGGAGAUGAGGGAAGAAUGAAAAGCGUAAUUAACCUUCCCCUAAACACAGAUUUUUUUUUUUUUUUUUUUUUUUUUUUUUUUUUUUUUUUUGGCAAAACACAUCAAAAUACUGCAAGAAGACUGUGCUCCAAGUGCCAAAUGCAAUAAAGAAGCCCUAAGCCAGGGUAAUGGUCAAGUAAUGGCAAAUAAACCGCCUUCCUAGAAGGGGCCUCGGCCUCCAUUGGGAGAAGGAUUUUCCUCCUCAGAAGCCAUCUGAAAUAAACAAAUAAACGUAUUUUUUAAAACAAAGCUCUGUUUUCGUCUGAGUUUCUUAAGGAUGAAGGAAAACCCAAGUAGGUGGGCAUACAGAGAGUGAAUGCCUGAAUCUGGGUGUUGUGUUUGUUGUUGUCGGGAGGUUGUUUUGUUUUGUUUAUCUUAGGUACUGGGCUGACAAGGUGAGUAGUUUAAGGACGGGAGAAAGGGUUGGCAUCUACCUUUCCUACUUCAGGGCCUUUUUUUAAACAGAGAGCAAGUGUAGAAGCAACAAGUGCCCCCCUCCCCGCGGUCUUGCUAAUCGCAUCGCCUUUUGUGACUUUAUGAGACUUCUGGGGGGCCGGUAGCUAAGGGAGUUACUGGAUGCAACUCGUUCUCUGCUGUGACUGAAUUCCCGCGCGUUGUCACUUUGGGGAAGUAAGAUUGUAACUGAAGAAUUGCAACGCAGUGCUUCUGUCUGAGAAAGGCAGCUGCGGCAGCAACAGCUGGAGCAGUGCAAGCGGGAAUCUGAGGCUCAGUAAAAGUUUGUAAGAGUUGAGAUCUAGCUAUCGGAAAGCGGCAGCGGCAUCUUUAGGGACCCUGGGGACAAAAUAAAUGGGUCUCCCACCAGUUGAAUGACAAGUAUCAUCAGAUCGGAAACGAGGCUCAGUUUCUGGAUGUUGAGUGGACUGUGCGUGCAGGAAUAUUUUAAGACGGCAUCGUAUGUCUUGCUUGGCAAUUAAAAUAGUUUAAAAAGCUGCU